This 123-nucleotide ribosomal RNA is filed under the name Trichodesmium sp. St4_bin8_1. Its description in RNAcentral is "partial 16S ribosomal RNA". It matches the Rfam family "Bacterial small subunit ribosomal RNA", at positions 1413 to 1533 of the family's 1533-position model. RNAcentral also lists the same sequence under 1 other name. Lineage: Bacteria; Bacillati; Cyanobacteriota; Cyanophyceae; Oscillatoriales; Microcoleaceae. The record is from RNAcentral.
GGCCACGCCCGAAGUCAUUACUCUAACCCGAAAGGGAGGGGGAUGCCGAAGGUAGGGCUGAUGACUGGGGUGAAGUCGUAACAAGGUAGCCGUACCGGAAGGUGUGGCUGGAUCACCUCCUUU